CUACGGAGGGUGCAAGCGUUACUCGGAAUCACUGGGCGUAAAGCGCGCGCAGGCGGUCUUUUAAGUUGGAUGUGAAAGCCUACGGCUCAACCGUAGAACUGCAUCCAAAACUAUUAGACUAGAGUGUGGGAGAGGAAGAUGGAAUUAGUUGUGUAGGGGUAAAAUCCGUAGAGAUAACUAGGAAUACCAAAAGCGAAGGCAAUCUUCUGGAACACUACUGACGCUGAGGCGCGAAAGCGUGGGGAGCAAACAGAAUUAGAAACCCUAGUAGUCC
RNAcentral lists this ribosomal RNA (274 nucleotides) under uncultured bacterium. Its description in RNAcentral is "partial 16S ribosomal RNA". It matches the Rfam family "Bacterial small subunit ribosomal RNA", at positions 523 to 796 of the family's 1533-position model. The record is from RNAcentral.